This 566-nucleotide ribosomal RNA is filed under the name uncultured bacterium. Its description in RNAcentral is "bacterial SSU rRNA". It matches the Rfam family "Bacterial small subunit ribosomal RNA", at positions 338 to 916 of the family's 1533-position model. The record is from RNAcentral.
CCUACGGGAGGCAGCAGUGGGGAAUAUUGGACAAUGGGCGAAAGCCUGAUCCAGCAACGCCGCGUGAGGGAUGACUGCCUUCGGGUUGUAAACCUCUUUCAGCGGGGACGAAGCGAAAGUGACGGUACCCGCAGAAGAAGCACCGGCCAACUACGUGCCAGCAGCCGCGGUAAUACGUAGGGUGCGAGCGUUGUCCGGAAUUAUUGGGCGUAAAGGGCUCGUAGGCGGUUUGUCACGUCGGGAGUGAAAACUCAGGGCUCAACCCUGAGCCUGCUUCCGAUACGGGCAGACUAGAGGUAUGCAGGGGAGAACGGAAUUCCUGGUGUAGCGGUGAAAUGCGCAGAUAUCAGGAGGAACACCGGUGGCGAAGGCGGUUCUCUGGGCAUUACCUGACGCUGAGGGGCGAAAGUGUGGGGAGCGAACAGGAUUAGAUACCCUGGUAGUCCACACCGUAAACGUUGGGCGCUAGGUGUGGGACUCAUUCCACGAGUUCCGUGCCGCAGCUAACGCAUUAAGCGCCCGCCUGGGGAGUACGGCCGCAGGCUAAAACUUAAAGGAAUUGACGG